Molecule: ribosomal RNA, 478 nt
Filed under: uncultured bacterium
Lineage: Bacteria
Description: partial 16S ribosomal RNA
Rfam family: Bacterial small subunit ribosomal RNA
Source: RNAcentral
GAUGAACGCUGGCGGCAUGCCUAACACAUGCAAGUCGAGCGAGCAGAUCCCUUCGGGGUGAAGCUAGCGGCGGACGGGUGAGUAACACGUGGGCAACCUGCCUCAUAGAGGGGAAUAGCCUUUCGAAAGGAAGAUUAAUACCGCACAAGAUUGUAGCUUCGCAUGAAGUAGCAAUUAACGGAGCAGUCCGCUAUGGGAUGGGCCCGCGGCGCAUUAGCUAGUUGGUGAGGUAACGGCUCACCAAGGCGACGAUGCGUAGCCGACCUGAGAGGGUGAUCGGCCACAUUGGAACGGAGACACGGACCAGACUCCUACGGGAGGCAGCAGUGGGGAAUAUUGCACAAUGGGGGAAACCCUGAUGCAGCAAUGCCGCGUGAGUGAUGACGGCCUUCGGGUUGUAAAGCUCUGUCUUCGGGGACGAUAAUGACGGUACCCGAGGAGGAAGCCACGGCUAACUACGUGCCAGCAGCCGCCGUAA